AGCGAACGCUGGCGGCAGGCCUAAUACAUGCAAGUCGAACGCACCUUCGGGUGAGUGGCGGACGGGUGAGUAACGCGUGGGAACGUGCCCUUUGGUUCGGAACAACACAGGGAAACUUGUGCUAAUACCGAAUGUGCCCCCCUCCUUUGACGUAGGGGGGCGGGAAAGAUUUAUCGCCAUUGGAGCGGCCCGCGUUGGAUUAGCUAGUUGGUGGGGUAAAGGCCCACCAAGGCUACGAUCCAUAGCUGGUCNGAGAGGAUGAUCAGCCACACUGGGACUGAGACACGGCCCAGACUCCUACGGGAGGCAGCAGUAGGGAAUCUUGCGCAAUGGGCGAAAGCCUGACGCAGCCAUGCCGCGUGAGUGAUGAAGGCCC
RNAcentral lists this ribosomal RNA (376 nucleotides) under uncultured bacterium. RNAcentral's name for it is "bacterial SSU rRNA". It matches the Rfam family "Bacterial small subunit ribosomal RNA", at positions 29 to 417 of the family's 1533-position model. The record is from RNAcentral.